CACAAACACUGUUCACAACAGACUCACACAGCCUUCAUUAUGCCAGCGUUACACCGUAAACGAAUCACAGAGGAGAGAGUGGAUCUUUUAAAACAUCUCUGCAAGGAGCUGUUACACUUCUUUGUGCUUAUUAUGGGAACUGGAGCUUCUUUCAGGGUGUCAGAGCAGUGCAGUGGUGUCUCACCACCCUCAGGCUGAGUGUAUCCCCAUCCAGAUAUCCAGCACUGUGUGCCUCCUGGUAGAUCAUAGUCGUACCGAGGCAAGCAGACCG
Larimichthys crocea (large yellow croaker) is the source of this 271-nucleotide long non-coding RNA. RefSeq lists it as uncharacterized. Lineage: Eukaryota; Metazoa; Chordata; Actinopteri; Sciaenidae. The transcript has 3 exons. The record is from RefSeq and is a predicted model, not a curated record.